RNAcentral lists this ribosomal RNA (253 nucleotides) under uncultured bacterium. Its description in RNAcentral is "partial 16S ribosomal RNA". It matches the Rfam family "Bacterial small subunit ribosomal RNA", at positions 524 to 776 of the family's 1533-position model. The record is from RNAcentral.
UACGUAGGGUGCAAGCGUUGUCCGGAAUUAUUGGGCGUAAAGAGCUCGUAGGCGGUCUGUCGCGUCGGCUGUGAAAACCCGGGGCUCAACCCCGGGCCUGCAGUCGAUACGGGCAGACUAGAGUGCGGUAGGGGAGACUGGAAUUCCUGGUGUAGCGGUGAAAUGCGCAGAUAUCAGGAGGAACACCGGUGGCGAAGGCGGGUCUCUGGGCCGUACCUGACGCUGAGGAGCGAAAGCGUGGGGAGCGAACAGG